Molecule: unclassified non-coding RNA, 243 nt
Filed under: uncultured Clavulinopsis
Lineage: Eukaryota; Fungi; Basidiomycota; Agaricomycetes; Agaricales; Clavariaceae
Description: sequence contains ITS2
Source: RNAcentral
UAUUAUUCUCAACUUUGGAGUUUGUUACAGAACUCUGAAGCUUUUGGAUAUGGAGGAUGUUGCUGGCGCUUUUAAAAAUAUGCUGGCUCCUCUUAAAUGCAUUAGCAAACAAAAAACUUGUUAAAGGGGUUUGUUGGCUCUGGUUUGAUAAGAAUUAAAUAUCUAUGCCAUUGCUGAUAAAUGAAACUUUGAUUAAUUGUUUUUUGAGCUUCUAAAUUGUGUGACAAACCACACACUUUGAAA